ACGGCAGCACGGACUUCGGUCUGGUGGCGAGUGGCGAACGGGUGAGUAAUAUAUCGGAACGUAUCCAAUAAUGGGGGAUAACUAAUCGAAAGGUUGGCUAAUACCGCAUACGCCCUACGGGGGAAAGCAGGGGAUCUUCGGACCUUGCGUUAAUGGAGCGGCCGAUAUCUGAUUAGCUAGUUGGUGGGGUAAGAGCCUACCAAGGCGACGAUCAGUAGCUGGUCUGAGAGGACGACCAGCCACACUGGAACUGAGACACGGUCCAGACUCCUACGGGAGGCAGCAGUGGGGAAUUUUGGACAAUGGGCGAAAGCCUGAUCCAGCCAUUCCGCGUGAGUGAAGAAGGCCUUCGGGUUGUAAAGCUCUUUCGCAAGGGAAGAAAACUUACCUUCUAAUAAAGGGUGAGGGUGACGGUACCUUGAUAAGAAGCACCGGCUAACUACGUGCCAACAGCCGCGGUAAUACGUAAGGUGCGAACCGUUAAUCGGAAA
This 491-nucleotide ribosomal RNA is filed under the name uncultured Methylophilus sp. Its description in RNAcentral is "bacterial SSU rRNA". It matches the Rfam family "Bacterial small subunit ribosomal RNA", at positions 66 to 551 of the family's 1533-position model. Lineage: Bacteria; Pseudomonadati; Pseudomonadota; Betaproteobacteria; Nitrosomonadales; Methylophilaceae. The record is from RNAcentral.